This 335-nucleotide unclassified non-coding RNA is filed under the name soil metagenome. RNAcentral describes it as "partial contains 5.8S ribosomal RNA, internal transcribed spacer 2, and large subunit ribosomal RNA". The stretch from base 1 to 120 matches the Rfam family "5.8S ribosomal RNA", at positions 35 to 154 of the family's 154-position model. The record is from RNAcentral.
GAUGAAGAACGUAGUGAAAUGCGAUAAGUAAUGUGAAUUGCAGAAUUCAGUGAAUCAUCGAAUCUUUGAACGCACAUUGCGCCCCUUGGUAUUCCAUGGGGCAUGCCUGUUCGAGCGUCAUUUGUACCUUCAAGCUCUGCUUGGUGUUGGGUGUUUGUCCUUGCUCUAGUGGCGGGACUCGCCUUAAAGUAAUUGGCAGCCAGUGUUUUGGUUUUGAAGCGCAGCACAAGUCGCGAUUCAAGUCUAUACGCUAGUUUCCACAAGUCUUUUAUCACUUUUGACCUCGGAUCAGGUAGGGAUACCCGCUGAACUUAAGCAUAUCAAUAAGCGGAGGA